This 494-nucleotide ribosomal RNA is filed under the name Saccharomyces cerevisiae (brewer's yeast). Its description in RNAcentral is "partial large subunit ribosomal RNA". It matches the Rfam family "Eukaryotic large subunit ribosomal RNA", at positions 88 to 585 of the family's 3401-position model. The record is from RNAcentral. Lineage: Eukaryota; Fungi; Ascomycota; Saccharomycetes; Saccharomycetales; Saccharomycetaceae.
GGCGAGUGAAGCGGCAAAAGCUCAAAUUUGAAAUCUGGUACCUUCGGUGCCCGAGUUGUAAUUUGGAGAGGGCAACUUUGGGGCCGUUCCUUGUCUAUGUUCCUUGGAACAGGACGUCAUAGAGGGUGAGAAUCCCGUGUGGCGAGGAGUGCGGUUCUUUGUAAAGUGCCUUCGAAGAGUCGAGUUGUUUGGGAAUGCAGCUCUAAGUGGGUGGUAAAUUCCAUCUAAAGCUAAAUAUUGGCGAGAGACCGAUAGCGAACAAGUACAGUGAUGGAAAGAUGAAAAGAACUUUGAAAAGAGAGUGAAAAAGUACGUGAAAUUGUUGAAAGGGAAGGGCAUUUGAUCAGACAUGGUGUUUUGUGCCCUCUGCUCCUUGUGGGUAGGGGAAUCUCGCAUUUCACUGGGCCAGCAUCAGUUUUGGUGGCAGGAUAAAUCCAUAGGAAUGUAGCUUGCCUCGGUAAGUAUUAUAGCCUGUGGGAAUACUGCCAGCUGGG